Long non-coding RNA from Dreissena polymorpha, 448 nucleotides. RefSeq lists it as uncharacterized. The transcript is spliced from 2 exons. The record is from RefSeq and is a predicted model, not a curated record. Lineage: Eukaryota; Metazoa; Mollusca; Bivalvia; Myida; Dreissenidae.
CAGAAAACAAAAUGUUAUUACUGGCUGAAGAACCAAAAUUGAAUGGACAGAGAACACGGUUGUCAAAACUCAAACAGAAGUUGUGUCACUCAGCUACAUUAAAACAUAAAACUGAAGGCAGAAGCAACAAAUACAACAUGUGAAGAAUGAAGCAACAGCGUAAUAAAACUCGGGAGAUGUUGAUGGCGUCAAGGGAAAGAUAUGCCAUUCAGAGGGACAUACGCAAUAAUCAUGAGGAACUGGUUUCUCUUUAAAAAAAUGAAAUUCUAAAUUGCUCAAUUGUUUCUGGAACUUUUAAUUGAUUUUACAUGUGAUGGUGUUCAGUGAGUCUAUGAAACUUAUUAUUACACAUACUAUCAUGUAAGAUAUAAAUUGUCAUAUGAAUUAUAAUACCAUGCCCAGUUAAUAUAUUGUACUUCCUGAUUAAUAAUAAAUAUUUGUGAAUGUU